Molecule: non-coding RNA, 21 nt
Filed under: Caenorhabditis elegans
Lineage: Eukaryota; Metazoa; Nematoda; Chromadorea; Rhabditida; Rhabditidae
Source: RNAcentral
UCUCAAAUUGAUCUGUUGAGG